ACGGUAGAGGGGGCAACCCCUUGAGAGUGGCGAACGGGUGAGUAAUGUAUCGGAACGUGCCCAGUCGUGGGGGAUAACGUAGUGAAAAUUACGCUAAUACCGCAUACGAUCUAUGGAUGAAAGCGGGGGAUCGCAAGACCUCGCGCGAUUGGAGCGGCCGAUAUCAGAUUAGGUAGUUGGUAGGGUAAAGGCCUACCAAGCCAACGAUCUGUAGCUGGUCUGAGAGGACGACCAGCCACACUGGAACUGAGACACGGUCCAGACUCCUACGGGAGGCAGCAGUGGGGAAUUUUGGACAAUGGGCGAAAGCCUGAUCCAGCCAUUCCGCGUGCAGGAUGAAGGCCCUCGGGUUGUAAACUGCUUUUGUACAGAACGAAAAGGUUUCUAUUAAUACUAGGAGCUCAUGACGGUACUGUAAGAAUAAGCACCGGCUAACUACGUGCCAGCAGCCGCGGUAAUACGUAGGGUGCAAGCGUUAAUCGGAAUUACUGGGCGUAAAGCGUGCGCAGGCGGUUAUAUAAGUCAGAUGUGAAAUCCCCGGGCUCAACCUGGGAACUGCAUUUGAGACUGUAUAGCUAGAGUACGGUAGAGGGGGAUGGAAUUCCGCGUGUAGCAGUGAAAUGCGUAGAUAUGCGGAGGAACACCGAUGGCGAAGGCAAUCCCCUGGACCUGUACUGACGCUCAUGCACGAAAGCGUGGGGAGCAAACAGGAUUAGAUACCCUGGUAGUCCACGCCCUAAACGAUGUCAACUGGUUGUUGGGUCUUAACUGACUCAGUAACGAAGCUAACGCGUGAAGUUGACCGCCUGGGGAGUA
RNAcentral lists this ribosomal RNA (816 nucleotides) under uncultured beta proteobacterium. RNAcentral describes it as "bacterial SSU rRNA". It matches the Rfam family "Bacterial small subunit ribosomal RNA", at positions 66 to 882 of the family's 1533-position model. Lineage: Bacteria; Pseudomonadati; Pseudomonadota; Betaproteobacteria. The record is from RNAcentral.